RNAcentral lists this ribosomal RNA (253 nucleotides) under uncultured bacterium. RNAcentral's name for it is "partial 16S ribosomal RNA". It matches the Rfam family "Bacterial small subunit ribosomal RNA", at positions 524 to 776 of the family's 1533-position model. The record is from RNAcentral.
UACGAAGGGGGCUAGCGUUGUUCGGAAUUACUGGGCGUAAAGCGCGUGUAGGCGGGCCGUUAAGUCGGGGGUGAAAGCCCAGAGCUCAACUCUGGAACUGCCUUCGAUAGUGGCGGCCUGGAGCAUGAUAGAGGCGAGCGGAAUUGCGAGUGUAGAGGUGAAAUUCGUAGAUAUUCGCAGGAACACCAGUGGCGAAGGCGACUCGCUGGAUCAUUGCUGACCCCGAGACGCGAAAGCGUGUGGAGCAAACACG